RNAcentral lists this long non-coding RNA (7426 nucleotides) under Brassica napus (rape). RNAcentral's name for it is "long non-coding RNA (BNAP_LNC014343)". Lineage: Eukaryota; Viridiplantae; Streptophyta; Magnoliopsida; Brassicales; Brassicaceae. The record is from RNAcentral.
AAGUUGAUUCAAUUUAUAGGGCACAAUAUUAGUGCUACAGACAAACAACACGUAACUUAUUACAACAAACGAAACAAGAAAAAAAAAGGCUUCUAGGGAACUUCAAUUCUUAAGAUUUAUAAUUAAGGACUAGGCUUCAAGGUGUUGGCAACAUCAAUCACAAAACGGUAUCUAACGUCAGCCUUCUGGAGCCGUUCCAUGGCAGUGUUGACAUAAUCCGCAGAGAUAAGCUCAAUAUCUGCCGUGAUGUUGUGUUUUCCGGCCAAAUCCAUCAUCUCUUGAGUCUCUUUUAUCCCUCCUACCAUACUUCCCACCACCAUCUUUUUCCCUAUUAUAUAUUCACAACCACAAAUAUAUUCUCAAUGUUUAUCAACUGUACACUUGAAAUGUUAUUAAAUUUGUUAUGAUAAAUUGAUAAUAGUCAUGGAUAUAUAUGUCGGUAGAUUUUAUUAAUGAUACAAAAUACCAGGACAGGCCCAGAGAUUUAAAAAGCUAUAUGUAAUUUAGUAGGAGUUUUAUUAAUAAUUUUUUUUUUUUAAAUUUGACGUGAUAUAAUGCAAUAAGGCCACACGGCCAAAGUGAUAUAUGAUGCAUAAUAAGUCACACAGAUUUAUCAAGCAAGGGUAUCGACCAAACAAGCAAUUUCUAUAUGUUUUCAUGCGGCCAUAUGGUUAUAAUGCAAACCUAGCAUACUGAUUCUAUAUGUACAGGAGUGGAAUUAUGGAACCUCAAUUUAAAACAAUCAGAUCAUGCAAAGGUGAUAAUAAUCAGAUCAUGCGCAUAACAUAAACAUGUUGGUCAGGAUGAUAUAUGAUGCAAACUGGCCACACGGCCAAGUAGAUAUGAUGCACUCAUUCUUAGCAAUCGGAUUCUAUAUGUGCAAGGAUAAUAUUAAAACAUUCAAUCAAGGUUUAGCAAUUAAUCAAUCAGUUUCAGGUAUGAGAUUUAGGUAGACUAACAAUCAGAUUCAAUUAGAUUUUAUCAAGACUAGCAUUUGGAUCAAUAAUCAAAAAUAAUCAAACGGAUUCAAGCAUUACACAAUUUAGGGUUUCGAUCCAAAAAUAGGGUUUCAAUCAUGAAAAACCAAAACAAUCAGUUUCAAGGCUGAUUCUAUCAAUUUUAUUAAUCAGUUUCAAGGCUGAUAUUAGCAAGAUGGAAUCAAACAAUCUGAUUUUAGGAAUACGCAAAUUAGGGUUUAGGGUUUCAAUUCAAAUUUAGGGUUUUAUCAAUCAAUCAGCUUCUAGCAAAUAAUCUUAAACCUCAGAACAGUUGAUUAUAUCAUGAAACUAUCAACCUAGUAUAAUAUGAAACCUCAAAACAUUCAAUUCGGAUUAUGCAGUACACGGAUUCUAUUUUAGGGUUUAUCAAUUCGAAUUAGGGUUUAUAUUAUAACAGAUUCUAACAUGAAAUAUUAAACCUCAAAUCAUUCAAUCAGGUUAUAAAAACUAUCAAUCCUAACUCACAUGGAUUUAAGCCUCAAAGAAACAUUCAAUCAAUCAAAUAAAACAAUCCAUGCACACGUAAAUUAGGGUUUACAGAUUUUAAGGUUUCACUUUGAACAUUAGUUCAUUCGAUUCUGGGUUCUUAGAGUUUAGGUAUACCUUAAACCUUUGAUGGGUUGAAUGGACCACCAAGAGAAUGAGCUUACGUGGACUGGUACAAAUUGGAACCUUACGAGGACUGGUCCAAACUGUUUCCUUGCAGUCCGCGAGGUGAGAUCGGGUACAAGUUGAGAUCGAAAGUGAUUAGGGUUUAUCGAUAGAGAGAGAGGUGAUCGAUAGAGAUUAGGGUUUUAGCAAUGGAGAGAGAUUUAGGGUUUAUGGUCGAUAUUUUAGCUUAGGGUUUCAGAGAUCAAUCGUGCUGAUAACGUGUUAUAAAAGUAAUGGAAAAGUCUAUCUUUAUUCAUAACAUAGAGGUUCCUUAUAUAGGAGAUUACACCGUCAAAGAUAAAUGGAAAUAUUACAAAUCAUAAUUUCUUGGUUAUGAGCCAUCCACGAUAUGGUUCAUAACAUAUAAUGUUUAUUAAUUUGAUUAAGGUAUACUACAUCGCCCCAACCUCCUCAAUAAACAGCAUAAAACUUAUUACAACAAACCAAACAAGAACAAUAUCAUUAUGGAACUUCAAUUCUUAAGAUUUAUAAUUAAGGAGUAGGCUUCAAUGUGUUGGCAACAUCAAUCACAAAACGGUAUCUAACGUCGGCCUUCUCGAGCCGUUCCAUGGCAGUGUUGACAUAGUCCGCAGAGAUAAGCUCAAUAUCAGCAGUGAUGUUGUGUUUUCCUGCCAUAUCCACCAUCUCUUGAGUCUCCUUUAUCCCUCCUAUCAUACUUCCCAUUACCAUCUUCCUCUCUAGACAUACACAAUAACAAAAAAAAAACAUAAUUCUAAUGUUAUUUUCACUAACUUUUUUCUUGUCAAAUGUUUAUAUGUUUAAACCAAAUUUUAGUCAAUAAAAAAGGUUAUUCCGCACUUUUUCUAUACACAAAAAAAUUACCGCAAGAAAGUAAACGGAUUUGUUACUAAAACCACAUAAAUAUGGCUAAAUACGGACAUAAUAGGCUUACCGAAGAUGAGAGGCAUGACCGGGAGCUCGAGUGGCUUUUCUGGUGCACCAACCAUAACAAGUUUUCCCUUAGGCUUUAGCAAACCGAGCAAAGGAAGAAGGGAAUGAGUCGCAGAUACGGUAUUAAUAAUACCAUCCAAUGUCCUCAUUGCAUCCUUAAUCUGUUUUUGGUCACGGCUCACCACGAACGCGUCCGCACCAAGCCUAUUAAUCGCUUCAUCUCUCUUACUAUCCGAAGUACUAAUAACCGUAACCUUAAGACCCAUAGCCUUAGCAAAUUUCACCGCCACAUGACCCAAACCGCCUAGUCCAACCACACCAAUGUGCAUGCCAGGCUUGUCGAGCCCGUGAUAUUUUAGCGGGGAGUAGACCGUGAUCCCCGCGCAUAGUAGCGGAGCAGCAGCGUCCAAUGGGAGAUUGUCGGGCAUACGGAUGAUGAAACCUUCGUCGCAAACCAUGUUGUCGGAGUAACCACCGUAGGUUAUUGUGUCGUCGUAAUACUUGAAUCCGUACGUUUGGAUCGAUUUUGGACAGUAGUUCUCGAGACCUUCGGUGCAGCUAUCACAUGAUCCGCACGAGCCAACCAAGCAACCUACUCCGACUUUGUCUCCAGUUUUGAAUCUAGUCACUUUGCUUCCCACUUCAGUCACCACACCAACAAUCUCAUGCCUGAACAAAUAAAAAAACACAAGUUUCGGAUUUAAAAAUGCUCAUCGCCUAAUUUAAUAGUUCUUGAUGUUCUAAAAAUCGGUUUAAAUUAGACGCCCACGUAAAUUAGUCAUAACCGAAAUGAUUUUAUUAAAACCUAAUUUAUACUAAUCAAAUCGGUUUAAACUGUUCUAAAAAAGAAUAUUAAUCUAAAUUGGUAUAAAUUUUUUAAAUCAGCCAAUAAUGCUAGUUCAAAUCUAUGUCUAGUUUCUUUCUUUUUGUAAAUCUAAUUUUUAUAGGUCAUUAAAAUAAUUUUAUAAUUAAUUUUUAAAUGAAAAUAUCUAAUAGAAAUGUAAAAUAUAUAAUAAUAAAUCAAUAAUUCGUUAACAUCUAAACCCUUUCUAGGCUCCCAGUAACCCGUCUAGUCGAUAGUCCUCUGCUAAACGUCUAAUUAGUGCCUCACAAAUCUUUUGAACAUUUGUACUCUUAGAAAUAAUGUUCAUACGUCGCUUUAUGUUUAAAUAACAUACAUAUUUUACUCUAACACACACAUAUUAUAAGAUUGGUAAAAUAUAAAUUUAUGUAUUACGUACCCGGGGACGAGAGGGUAAGUAGAUAUUCCCCACUCAUUUUUGAUCAUAUGCAAAUCAGAGUGACAGAUUCCACAGAACAAAACUUUGAACCUAACAUCCUUCUCUCCUGUCUCCCUACACAUCAAUUCGACCAAAACUUAUUUUUCAUUAAUACAAAAAGUAUAUAGGGUCAUUGAUAGAUAUUAAUUCACUUGGUGACUCACACGCGCCUAUGCACAGGCAUAACGUUUUUUAAUAAACCAAAAUGUAAUAAUUUUGGAUAAUUUAUAUUAGUUUUAGUUGUAUUUGUUUGUGUAUUUUCAUGUUAUUUUAACUAAAGUUUUAUUUAUAAAUUAUUUAGUUGCAGUGUUAUGAUUUUUUGUGCAAUAUAUUCAAUUUGGCAAUAAUAUUUAUUUCUAAAAUCUAGUGUAAAAAUUGAUGUUAAAUGUGUUAAUUAUUUUUGAUUAAAAUUUUACCAAUUGUUUCUCGAACUUCAUAACCAAGUCAUUACUUUUGGUUGUUACAAUUAUUCUUCUUCUAUUUUGAUUUUGUUUAUUGUAGGAUUAAUAGAAGUUGAAAGAUAUGCAUUUUUAAAAUUAUCUCAGCAUCAAUCAAAACCAUCGUAAUAGAAACAACUUCUUUAAAAUAUUUUUUUCCAAACACGUCAUAGUGUUUAUUUGAUUUUAGAUGUAUAUAUCUAAAGAAGAAUGAAAUUUUCGGAUGGAAGUCGUAGAAAUCGUUUUCCUACCAAGGAAAGAUAUUUUUUUUAUGCAUAAUUUUUUUUAUGUGAAUAAUGAAUGAUUGACUGAUAUUUUAUAUUGAUGUCGAUAGUUUAAUAGUUUAGAUAUAUGAGAAUCAAUUGCUUAUUUAUUACUCCUUCCGUUUCAUAAAGAAUGUCACUUCAACAUUUUUUACACAGAUUAUGAAAAUGAUUGAAAUGCAUUUAAGUUCUUAUUAAUUACACAUAUUCAACCAAUAGUAUUUGAGAUAAAUACAAUUAUUUAUAAAAUCAAUGCAUUUGUAAUUAAUUUUAAUCUCAAAGUUGCAUUGAAAUUCUAAAAUGACACUCUUUUUGCAACAAGAAAAAAAAUACUAAAGUGACACUUAGUAUGAAACAGAUGGAGUAUUUUUGAAGCAUUUAAAUAGUAUUAGAAUUAAGACUUUAUGAUGUAAAACAAAUUGCAUAAAAUUGUGCUGAUAUUUUUGUAGAAAUAAAAAUAUUGUAUAAUUAUCAAAUGGUAUAUCACAUAGUUUCCUUUUUAUUAAAAAAAAAUAUGUUUGAAACAUAUUAAAAUUUCGCAUUUUAAUAGUAAAAAUAUUCCUUUUUCAUAAAAUAUGGUUUCAUUGAUAAAAACUAAAAUAAAAAAAUGAAAAUAUUUCUAGAUAUUGUCAUUUAUAUGAAAUUUCUUUUCAUUAACAAUUUAGUUAUAAAAGGAAUGUACUACUAAAAAGAACAUAAAAUAAAAUAUUAAUAACAACAGUUAUAAUAAUAAACUCAAUUAGUAAUAAACCAUUAUAAUAUGGUUUUAUUAAUAAAAAAGAAAAUAAACAGAAAUAUUCAUAGAUAUUGCCUUUUAUAUGAAAUUCCUUUUUAUAACAAUUUGGUUAUAAUAGGAAUGUAUUAAUAGAAACAAAAUAAAAAUAAAAUAUUAAUAAUGGCAAUUAUGUAAUAAACUUAAUUCAUUAAUGCUAUCAGUGUAAUAAACCACUGUGAGAGUUAACGUGAGCAUGUCACGUAAGAAAGUGACUUCUCAAAUAAUGUUACGGAGAUUUUUAUGUAAAAAAACCUUCUAGAGAAAUGGAAAGGCGAGAGAACUCCAGAAUUGUCUUUCGCGGCCAAUCCAAAUGCCUCCUUUCCCAUAAUGGAUCAAAGAAGAACAAGAGCUAGAGAAAUGGAUUGGAGAAGUAAGCAAGUGUGUGGUUUCGUUUUUAUGUGAAUGCACUUCUAAAUAAUUGAGAAGUUUAAGUUUAUGAGUAGAGAGACAAGAUCUUUAAUAUAGGAAGGGAUUGUGGCACCGACGGGAACGGGAGCCAUUAGGACCAUUCACACUAUAAGAUUACCUCAAUGACUCGUUCUUUUCUUCCUUGUAUAUUUUCUUGCCUUUUUUAGAGGUGUUAAAUCUUUGACUCUACAAGAUAAGUAUGAAUACAUUAGGUAUUAGUUUGUUUGCUAAGCAUGCGUGAAUAUGAUACAUUCAUAAAUUGGUAUGAAUGCAACAGAACUGCUGUUAGAAUAUGAACCAGAUCUGCUGAAACAUUGAGAAGAAGACACGUCACAAAAUAUUCAAGCUCUUAAAGUUUUGGUAAUAGCCAAAAUGAAAAUGUAUUGGUCGAAACUUAAGCCUUGCUCUGACCAAAUAUGUCGUAUCUUCAACAAAAAAAAAACAAAACAAAUUAUAUAUUAAAUAAAAGCAAAGUUUUCAUAACGAAUAUGUAAAACGUGCUUUUAUAUUCCUUAUAACCAAAAAUUUGUCGUUCUUCAGUUCUAUCUAAUUUUCAUUUUCCGAGCAUAAUUAAAAAUCCAUAUUAAAUGUAUGGAACUCGUUGAACCACAUGCUGUAUGGACCUGGCACACCGACAAGUCUGUACGUGCGGGCCACUGCGAACGUUAGGAAAGCUAUUUUCACAUAUUAUUCGUAUUGAUUAAAUCGAAUAAACGUAAAAAUGACGAAAUUUAAUACUACUUCAAAGUUCAAAGUUAUAUGAUUUUGUCAGUGUAGUCGUGUAUUGUUUGUCUGUUCUUGUGGUCUAUACAUCGCCACUUGCUUUUGCUCCCAAAUAGUGUCGUCUACGCAACAUACUCAUAGCUAAACGCGUUUACACUGUUAAGAUACAUGCACCUGGAUAUUAGACCAAACGAAUAGUUUGAAUUUAGUCCCGAAAUCAUACCUUAUGAAACGUGUUUAUACUAUCAAGAGACAAGAGCAAGUUUUCUAUCAAGAGACUAUGCAUAAAAAUCUUGGUACUUUAUAAUCAAUCAUAUUGUUAUUAUUGGUCGGAUUGCUCAGACAACACAGCUUCUAUCAUUUACACCCAGCAUAUUUCAACCUUAAGAACCUAUACAAGACCAAUUAAUAUGAACAGGAAAACAAACAUUCACUUAUACAUGUAAUAUUUUUAUUUUCCAAUAUUUUUGAGAUUUUACAGUAUCACCAGUCAAAACCUACUAUUUGAAUUAAACUUCCCAAGAUCUUAUUAAUAUAGCAAACAUUACAUUCAAGUUGAUUCAAUUUAUAGGGCACAAUAUUAGUGCUACAGACAAACAACGUAACUUAUUACAACAAACCAAACAAGAAAAAAAAGGCUUCUAGGGAACUUCAAUUCUUAAGAUUUAUAAUUAAGGACUAGGCUUCAAGGUGUUGGCAACAUCAAUCACAAAACGGUAUCUAACGUCAGCCUUCUGGAGCCGUUCCAUGGCAGUGUUGACAUAAUCCGCAGAGAUAAGCUCAAUAUCUGCCGUGAUGUUGUGUUUUCCGGCCAAAUCCAUCAUCUCUUGAGUCUCUUUUAUCCCUCCUACCAUACUUCCCACCACCAUCUUUUUCCCUAUUAUAUAUUCACAACCACAAAUAUAUUCUCAAUGUUUAUCAACUGUACACUUGAAAUGUUAUUAAAUUUGUUAUGAUAAAUUGAUAAUAGUCAUGGAUA